GCCCAGACUCCUACGGGAGGCAGCAGUGAGGAAUAUUGGUCAAUGGCCGAGAGGCUGAACCAGCCAAGUCGCGUGAGGGAAGACGGCCCUACGGGUUGUAAACCUCUUUUGUCGGGGAGCAAAGCGAACCACGUGUGGUUCAUUGAGAGUACCCGAAGAAAAAGCAUCGGCUAACUCCGUGCCAGCAGCCGCGGUAAUACGGAGGAUGCGAGCGUUAUCUGGAUUUAUUGGGUUUAAAGGGUGCGCAGGCGGAAGAUCAAGUCAGCGGUAAAAUUGAGGGGCUCAACCUCUGCGAGCCGUUGAAACUGGUUUUCUUGAGUGAGCGAGAAGUAUGCGGAAUGCGUGGUGUAGCGGUGAAAUGCAUAGAUAUCACGCAGAACUCCGAUUGCGAAGGCAGCAUACCGGCGGCGAUCUGACGCUGAGGCACGAAAGCGUGGGUAUCGAACAGGAUUAGAUACCCUAGUA
RNAcentral lists this ribosomal RNA (465 nucleotides) under uncultured bacterium. Its description in RNAcentral is "bacterial SSU rRNA". It matches the Rfam family "Bacterial small subunit ribosomal RNA", at positions 329 to 792 of the family's 1533-position model. The record is from RNAcentral.